This 111-nucleotide small nucleolar RNA is filed under the name Microcebus murinus (gray mouse lemur). Its description in RNAcentral is "Small nucleolar RNA SNORA26 (ENSMICG00000020602.3)". It matches the Rfam family "Small nucleolar RNA SNORA26". From Rfam's summary of the family: The snoRNA HBI-6 belong to the H/ACA family of snoRNAs, guiding the pseudouridylation of position U4522 if the 28S rRNA. Lineage: Eukaryota; Metazoa; Chordata; Mammalia; Primates; Cheirogaleidae. The record is from Rfam by way of RNAcentral.
GCGCCCUUUUAAGGUCGAAAGAGGCUAACACAGAGAGGCAAAGCGAGUCUCCAUAAAACCCAGAGAGGAGGCUGCACGUCUCCUGUCUGCAUCCUGUCUGGAGUCACAGCU